This is a long non-coding RNA of Vidua macroura (Pin-tailed whydah), 862 nucleotides long. RefSeq lists it as uncharacterized. The transcript has 5 exons. Lineage: Eukaryota; Metazoa; Chordata; Aves; Passeriformes; Viduidae. The record is from RefSeq and is a predicted model, not a curated record.
AGGAGUGACGUGGGCUAGCUCCAAUGCUUGUGGGGGCAACAGGGGUGUACAGGGGUACACAGAACCGGCUAACCAACAUACAUCAGAACCCCUAAUCUGAACCCAAACCCAGGAUACAACAUCUGAUUGUUGAGCAUUGGUUUCUAUGAAAGAAAAUAUCUUAUAGCCAUGCCUGUCUACUAAGGGAGGUACCAGAGCUGUGAAAUUACCAGAGUUUAAACUUUUUGAAAGCACAAGACUCCUAAAGCAAGUUAGUAGGUCUCACUGUGAACAAAGGGUGAUAAUAGGAGCCAGACACAUCAAGAAAAACAACCCCAUAUGAACAGCACAGGAAAGCUAUUGUGAAGGACCUCAGAGCAUCCCUGCCUUAAAGCAGGGUCAGCUAUGGAGCUGGACCACGUUGCUCAUGCCCUGGGAACAUUCACAUCUCAGAGAAGAUCUGGACAUUCAGGUGUGCUUCACUGAAGUCAAAAAACACUUUGAGAUCUUCAGAUGAAAGAAACAAAUAUCCAGGACAAAAGGAAGCUAUUGCAUAGUUGAAUGGUGUUUAAAGGCAUGAAGAUAAACAAAGUCUAUUGUAAUUAUGCCAGGGGCAUAAUUUUGACUGUUCUGCUCUGCCUUCUAUAAUUAGUCUUGAAAGGAAAUACUGUUAUAUUCAGCCACGAAAUGAAGUGGAAGAACUGAGUUUAUUAGAGAUUAAUAAAGUCUCCAUGAACAUUCCUAAAUAGAUACUGAAUCCUUAAGUAUAGAUUAUAGGUCAGAACAUGUUGCCACUACUUUCUCAGAGGGCAAGAAAUUGAGUACACUAUAUUAACUAAAAUGAGAGUGAAUGGAGGGCUGUCAAAUGUAAUGGAAGAUUUUA